CACCCACGGCGAUCCUCCUGCAUCAGCCUCCCACGUGCUAGGAUUACAAGCCAGCCUUGAGUCUUGAUUCUUCACAGGAUUAAAUGAGGCAAGGAAAUGACAAGUCCUCUCGGACCUAUAUUUAACCUCCAAGAACCCUGCGGUCCUGCCUGAGGCAUGCCAAGACUGAACAGAGCAAAGAGCACCAGAAACCAACAGACUUUUCAGAUUCCCUGGAAGGUACCUCAGCAGGCAGAUUACAGGAAAGCAAUGGGAACACUCUGCCGAAGACCUGGUGCCAUCAGGACAGACCCUCGGCAUUUGGGUCAGAGGCCGGGGAUCUGUUCGUACACAUCAAAGGAUUUACUGAACAGUCGCAAGGCUGUGGUUUCAUACAGGGAGGGGAGGUUUUUGGGUAAAGGUUACCCAAAUUAACUGGGCUCUGAACCUCCAACCUCUCCACGUCACUGAACCUCCGAUCCCUCAAUUAGCCUGUAUAGUCUCCAAGUCUUUCCAGGGAUUUCCCUUCAAAGUCCCAAGAUCCCCAGUAGAUGCAGGAAGAGCAGUCAUUACUAAACACUCUAGAAUCCAUGUUUUGUUUUGCUGAACUAGGUGUGGGAGGGGAAGGGAAGGAAAAGACGGGAGAGAGAAUGAAUAAAAGAAGUAGGAGACAAAAACAAACGGAUGAGACCUUGA
Molecule: long non-coding RNA, 675 nt
Organism: Rattus rattus (black rat)
Lineage: Eukaryota; Metazoa; Chordata; Mammalia; Rodentia; Muridae
Exons: 2
Source: RefSeq, a predicted model, not a curated record